UCCUCGUUAGUAUAGUGGUCAGUAUCCCCGCCUGUCGCGCGGGAGACCGGGGUUCGAUUCCCCGACGGGGUG
Ixodes scapularis (black-legged tick) is the source of this 72-nucleotide non-coding RNA. The record is from Rfam. Lineage: Eukaryota; Metazoa; Arthropoda; Arachnida; Ixodida; Ixodidae.